AUACUCUGGUGUCUCUUCAGAUCAUAUAAAUCU
RNAcentral lists this small nuclear RNA (33 nucleotides) under Cervus elaphus hippelaphus. The record is from RNAcentral. Lineage: Eukaryota; Metazoa; Chordata; Mammalia; Artiodactyla; Cervidae.